GGUUUGCUAAUACCGCAUUCGUUCGCUGAUUCAUUUCAGCGAGUAAAGCCGCAAGGCACUUUGAGAGGGGCCCGCGUCCCAUCAGGUAGUUGGUGAGGUAAUGGCCCACCAAGCCGAUGACGGGUAGCUGGUCUGAGAGGACGAUCAGCCACAAUGGAACUGAGACACGGUCCAUACUCCUACGGGAGGCAGCAGUGAGGAAUAUUGGGCAAUGGGGGAAACCCUGACCCAGCGACGCCGCGUGGGUGACGAAGGCCUUCGGGUCGUAAAACCCUUUUGGCAGGGACGAGUGAGGACGGUACCUGUCGAAUAAGUCUCGGCUAACUACGUGCCAGCAGCCGCGGUAAAACGUAGGAGGCGAGCGUUAUCCGGAUUUACUGGGCGUAAAGCGCGCGUAGGCGGGUGGGUAAGUCUGACGUGAAAGCCCCUGGCUCAACUGG
RNAcentral lists this ribosomal RNA (440 nucleotides) under uncultured bacterium. RNAcentral describes it as "bacterial SSU rRNA". It matches the Rfam family "Bacterial small subunit ribosomal RNA", at positions 157 to 616 of the family's 1533-position model. The record is from RNAcentral.